UUUUGUUAUUUUCGCAAUUUAUUUUCAAAUAUGUAAUACGCGAACUUGGUACAACAUUCAUGUGAUAAAAAGGUAGAUACGUGGACAGGAUGCGGUGGCUCACGCCUGUAAUCCCAGCACUUUGAGAGGCCUAGAUGGGCGGAUCACUUGCUGUCAGGAGUUCGAGACCAGCCUGGCCAACAUGAGUCUACAAAUAAACAUUUUAUAAAGAUGGUCCUUCAAUACAUAUUCUACAGCCCAGUUAAAAUGUGAGAGGCCAUGAUCUAUAGGCAGCCAUUUAUAAAGGUAGAUCGGGGCCGGGCACGGUGGCUCACGUCUGUAAUCCCGGCACUCUGGGAGGCCGAAGCGGGAGGAUCGCUUGAGCUCAGGAGUUCAAAACCAAUCUGGCCAACAUGGUGAGACCCCAUCUUUACAAAAAAUAUAUAUAUAUCCAGGCAUAGUGGUGUGCAUCUGUGGUCCUGUGGUCCUGUGGUCCCAGCUACUUAGGAAGCUGAGGCAGUCAAGGCUGCAGUGAGCCACGUUCUGGCCACUACACUCCAGCCUGGGCAUCAAAGUGACAAGACCAAAAAAAAAAAAAAAAAA
RNAcentral lists this long non-coding RNA (582 nucleotides) under Pongo abelii (Sumatran orangutan). RNAcentral's name for it is "lincRNA". The record is from RNAcentral. Lineage: Eukaryota; Metazoa; Chordata; Mammalia; Primates; Hominidae.